CCACAUCAGGCCUGAUGAUCUUCUCCCUCACCACAUAGCAAGGAAAGAGGCUCGGGAGAGGCCUCCAGAAAGGU
Molecule: long non-coding RNA, 74 nt
Filed under: Chinchilla lanigera (long-tailed chinchilla)
Lineage: Eukaryota; Metazoa; Chordata; Mammalia; Rodentia; Chinchillidae
Description: lncRNA (ENSCLAG00000022890.1)
Source: RNAcentral